CAGCGGUAACCCCUUCCACUGUGACUGCCAGCUGCUCCCGCUGCACAGAUGGCUCACGGGGCUGAACCUGCGGGUGGGCGCCACCUGUGCCACCCCUCCCAGUGUCCGUGGCCAGAAGGUGAAGGCUGCAGCUUCUGUCUUUGAAGCCUGCCCAGGCUGGAUUGCCAGGAAGGCCAAGAGGACACCAACCUCCGGGGUAGAGAAGCAAAGGGACUACAUCUGAGAAUGGAGCAGCCUGUCCCCGACUCAACCCAGCCCACCAGCUCUUACUGUCAUCAGGAACUGGUUCCGAGACCCCCAAAGCCUCAAGGUUGUCCUCCAGUAAGGGUUUCUUGGAGCUCUGUCUGAGGGGCCGAGUCUUGGCUGACGGGAUUCUUUUCCCUAUGAAUAAAACCAAACCUAGCAUU
RNAcentral lists this long non-coding RNA (407 nucleotides) under Rattus norvegicus (Norway rat). RNAcentral describes it as "long non-coding RNA NONRATT027143". Lineage: Eukaryota; Metazoa; Chordata; Mammalia; Rodentia; Muridae. The record is from RNAcentral.